GUGGCUAUGGUGUAGUGGCAGCACACUGGACUGUGGCUCCUUUAGCACGGGUUCGAAUCCCGUUAGCCACC
RNAcentral lists this transfer RNA (71 nucleotides) under Candidatus Omnitrophota bacterium. Its description in RNAcentral is "Candidatus Omnitrophica bacterium tRNA-His". It matches the Rfam family "tRNA". Rfam says of the family: Transfer RNA (tRNA) molecules are approximately 80 nucleotides in length. RNAcentral also lists the same sequence under 1 other name. Lineage: Bacteria; Pseudomonadati; Candidatus Omnitrophota. The record is from RNAcentral.